Molecule: long non-coding RNA, 2668 nt
Filed under: Pan troglodytes (chimpanzee)
Lineage: Eukaryota; Metazoa; Chordata; Mammalia; Primates; Hominidae
Description: long non-coding RNA NONPTRT002687
Source: RNAcentral
GCGGCGGAAGGUGAUCGAAUUCCGGUGAUGCGAGUUGUUCUCCGUCUAUAAAUACGCCUCGCCCGAGCUGUGCGGCAGGCAGUGAGGCAGCCAGCGCAGGGGCUUCUGCUGAGGGCGCAGGCGGAGCUUGAGGAAACCGCAGAUAAGUUUUUUUCACUUUGAAAGAUAGAGAUUAAUACAACUACUUAAAAAAUAUAGUCAAUAGGUUACUAAGAUAUUGCUUAGCGUUAAGCUUUUAACGUAAUUUUAAUAGCUUAAGAUUUUAAGAGAAAAUAUGAAGACUUAGAAGAGUAGCAUGACGAAGGAAAAGAUAAAAGAUUUCUAAAACAUGACGGAGGUUGAGAUGAAGCUUCUUCAUGGAGUAAAAAAUGUAUUUAAAAGAAAAUUGAGAGAAAGGACUACAGAGCCCUGAAUUAAUACCAAUAGAAGGGCAAUGCUUUUAGAUUAAAAUGAAGGUGACUUAAACAGCUUAAAGUUUACUUUAAAAGUUGUAGGUGAUUAAAAUAAUUUGAAGGCGAUCUUUUAAAAAGAGAUUAAACCGAAGGUGAUUAAAAGACCUUGAAAUCCAUGACGCAGGGAGAAUUGCGUCAUUUAAAGCCUAGUUAACGCAUUUAAACGCAGACGAAAAUGGAAAGAUUAGUUGGGAGUGGUAGGAUGAAACGAUUUGGAGAAGAUAGAAGUUUGAAGUGGAAAACUGGAAGACAGAAGUACAGGAAGGCGGAGAAAAGAAUAGAGAAGAUAGGGAAAUUAGAAGAUAAAAACAUACUUUUAGAAGAAAAAAGAUAAAUUUAAACCUGAAAAGUAGGAAGCAGAAGAAAAAAGACAAGCUAGGAAACAAAAAACUAAGGGCAAAAUGUACAAACUUAGAAGAAAAUUGGAAGAUAGAAACAAGAUAGAAAAUGAAAAUAUUGUCAAGAGUUUCAGAUAGAAAAUGAAAAACAAGCUAAGACAAGUAUUGGAGAAGUAUAGAAGAUAGAAAAAUAUAAAGCCAAAAAUUGGAUAAAAUAGCACUGAAAAAGUGAGGAAAUUAUUGGUAACCAAUUUAUUUUAAAAGCCCAUCAAUUUAAUUUCUGGUGGUGCAGAAGUUAGAAGGUAAAGCUUGAGAAGAUGAGGGUGUUUACGUAGACCAGAACCAAUUUAGAAGAAUACUUGAAGCUAGAAGGGGAAGUUGGUUAAAAAUCACAUCAAAAAAGGACUGGUGUAAUUUAAAAAAAAACUAAGGCAGAAGGCUUUUGGAAGAGUUAGAAGAAUUUGGAAGGCCUUAAAUAUAGUAGCUUAGUUUGAAAAAUGUGAAGGACUUUCGUAACGGAAGUAAUUCAAGAUCAAGAGUAAUUACCAACUUAAUGUUUUUGCAUUGGACUUUGAGUUAAGAUUAUUUUUUAAAUCCUGAGGACUAGCAUUAAUUGACAGCUGACCCAGGUGCUACACAGAAGUGGAUUCAGUGAAUCUAGGAAGACAGCAGCAGACAGGAUUCCGGGAACCAGUGUUUGAUGAAGCUAGGACUGAGGAGCAAGCGAGCAAGCAGCAGUUCGUGGUGAAGAUAGGAAAAGAGUCCAGGAGCCAGUGCGAUUUGGUGAAGGAAGCUAGGAAGAAGGAAGGAGCGCUAACGAUUUGGUGGUGAAGCUAGGAAAAAGGAUUCCAGAAAGGAGCGAGUGCGAUUUGGUGAUGAAGCUAGCAGGCGGCUUGGCUUGGCAACCACACGGAGGAGGCGAGCAGGCGUUGUGCGUAGAUAGAGGAUCCUAGACCAGCAUGCCAGUGUGCCAAGGCCACAGGGAAAACGAGUGGUUGGUAAAAAUCCGUGAGGUCGGCAAUAUGUUGUUUUUCUGGAACUUAUGAGGCAUUUCAUCCUUCAUGAAGCUGUUCAGGAUUUUGAAUUGCAUAUGAGUGCUUGGCUCUUCCUUCUGUUCUCCUAACUUCACAGAGAAUGCAGUUGUCUUGACUUCAGGUCUGUCUGUUCUGUUGGCAAGUAAAUGCAGUACUGUUCUGAUCCCGCUGCUAUUAGAAUGCAUUGUGAAACGACUGGAGUAUGAUUAAAAGUUGUGUUCCCCAAUGCUUGGAGUAGUGAUUGUUGAAGGAAAAAAUCCAGCUGAGUGAUAAAGGCUGAGUGUUGAGGAAAUUUCUGCAGUUUUAAGCAGUCGUAUUUGUGAUUGAAGCUGAGUACAUUUUGCUGGUGUAUUUUUAGGUAAAAUGCUUUUUGUUCAUUUCUGGUGCUGGGAGGGGACUGAAGCCUUUAGUCUUUUCCAGAUGCAACCUUAAAAUCAGUGACAAGAAACAAAUUCCAAACAAGCAACAGUCUUCAAGAAAUUAAACUGGCAAGUGGAAAUGUUUAAACAGUUCAGUGAUCUUUAGUGCAUUGUUUUUGUGUGGGUUUCUCUCUCCCCUCCCUUGGUCUUAAUUCUUACAUGCAGGAACACUCAGCAGACACACGUAUGCGAAGGGCCAGAGAAGCCAGACCCAGUAAGAAAAAAUAGCCUAUUUACUUUAAAUAAACCAAACAUUCCAUUUUAAAUGUGGGGAUUGGGAACCACUAGUUCUUUCAGAUGGUAUUCUUCAGACUAUAGAAGGAGCUUCCAGUUGAAUUCACCAGUGGACAAAAUGAGGAAAACAGGUGAACAAGCUUUUUCUGUAUUUACAUACAAAGUCAGAUCAGUUAUGGGACAAUAGUAUG